CAGCCGCCGCGGGAAAACGGAGGGAGCUAGCGUUAUUCGGAAUUACUGGGCGUAAAGCGCACGUAGGCGGCUUUGUAAGUUAGAGGUGAAAGCCUGGAGCUCAACUCCAGAAUUGCCUUUAAGACUGCAUCGCUUGAAUCCAGGAGAGGUGAGUGGAAUUCCGAGUGUAGAGGUGAAAUUCGUAGAUAUUCGGAAGAACACCAGUGGCGAAGGCGGCUCACUGGACUGGUAUUGACGCUGAGGUGCGAAAGCGUGGGGAGCAAACAGGAUUAGAUACCCCUGUAGUCCCUGUCUCUUAUAC
Molecule: ribosomal RNA, 301 nt
Filed under: uncultured bacterium
Lineage: Bacteria
Description: partial 16S ribosomal RNA
Rfam family: Bacterial small subunit ribosomal RNA
Source: RNAcentral